This 447-nucleotide ribosomal RNA is filed under the name Siphonaria japonica. RNAcentral describes it as "partial 16S ribosomal RNA". It matches the Rfam family "Bacterial large subunit ribosomal RNA", at positions 1809 to 2607 of the family's 2925-position model. Lineage: Eukaryota; Metazoa; Mollusca; Gastropoda; Siphonariida; Siphonariidae. The record is from RNAcentral.
AAAAACAUAGCCUUAGGUAAUUGAUCUAAGGUUCUACCUGCCCAAUGUUUAAAAUUAAUGGCCGCAGUACUUUAACUGUGCGAAGGUAGCAUAAUAAGUUGGCUUUUAAAUGGAGUCUGUAUGAAUGGAGUAACGUGGUGGGACUGUCUCACUUUAGUUUUAUUUAAUUUUCUUAGAGGGUGAAAAUUCCCUCAUUUUGAAAAAAGACGAGAAGACCCUUAGAGUUUAAAUUAAACCUUACUAAGUAAGUUGAAUUUUUGUUGGGGCGACAAGGAAGCAAAUAACCUUCCUGUUUUACUAGACGGCUUUGCAAGUGCGAAAAAACUACCUAAGGGAUAACAGCAUAAUUCUUGUUUGUGUUUGUGACCUCGAUGUUGGACUAGGAAUAGACCAGACUAGUAGUCUGAUUUUAUGGCUCUGUUCGAGCUUUUUCUCCUACAUGAUCUG